Long non-coding RNA from Alligator mississippiensis (American alligator), 1448 nucleotides. RefSeq lists it as uncharacterized. The record is from RefSeq and is a predicted model, not a curated record. Lineage: Eukaryota; Metazoa; Chordata; Crocodylia; Alligatoridae. The transcript has 2 exons.
ACAUUGCCUGGCUGGAGGGCUGCUGAGAACACCCUGGAAGUAAGGGGGGAAGCUGCAAGGGGUUGGCAAGGAGGCUCCUGGUCCUGGGCAUGAUCUGAAACUGCACCCUGCUGGAAGUGGGUGGCCUGGUGGGGCUCUCAGUGGUGCGGGAGCCCCCAGGAAAUGCCAGGCCAGUGAUCACCCUGAGGAAAGCUCUGCAACUCUCUGAUGCCAUGGCAGAUACGGAAGUUUGAUUUCUGACUUCUGCCACCAAAUUUAUCCUCCUGGGCUUUGAGAUUCUUCCAGAGUUGCGAAUGCUUCUCUUCCUGCUGUUUCUCAUAAUCUGCCUUGCAACCAUGGCUGGGAACGUCCUCAUCAUUACACUUAUUAUAGUGGUUCAGAAUCUGCACAUCCCCAUGUACUUCUUCCUGGGGAACUUGUCCUGCUUGGAGACCUGCUAUACCUGUACCCUCCUGCCCAGGAUGCUGGCCAGCUUCCUUACUGGAGACAGAACCAUUUCAUUCUCUGGCUGCUUCAUGCAAUUAUUUUUCUUUGGUGUGUUGUUAGUUGGAGUGUUGUCUCUUAUCCAUGAUGUCUUAUGAUCGGUACUUAGCCAUAUGUAAACCAUUGCACUAUGCAGCCCUAAUGAGUGAGAGACUGUGUUUCAAUCUUGCUGCUGGCUCAUGGAUCAGUGGAUUUCUAGUUGUCUCAACCGUAUAUCUCCUCCUAUUACAAUUAAGGUUCUGUGGACCCAAUCAAGUUGACCAUUUCUUUUGUGACUACUUACCACUGAUUAAACUCUCCUGCAGCGACACCUCUGAGGUUGAACUUGUAGUUUCCAUUCUGGGUUGCAUAGUCCUUUUUCCCCCAUCCCUUUUGACUCUCAUGUCCUAGGUCUACGUUAUCACCACCAUACUGAGAAUCCCUUGCACUAUUGGGAGGCAAAAGGCUUUUUCCACUUGUUCUUCACAUAUUAUGGAGGUGACAAUUUUCUAUUGGUCUGUAACUAUAAUCUACAUGUUCUCAAGAACCAACACCCUUAGAGCCCUGAACAAAAUAUUCUCUCUUUUCUACACGGUGCUGACUCCAUUGGCCAACCCUCUCACUUACAGCCUGCGAAACAAGGAAGUAAAGGAGGCUGUAAAGAAAGCUGUCUCUUUUCAGAGACUGGAAGAAAUGCAGCCAUUUCUAAACUCUAUUUGCAGGUCCAAGCAAAAUGGAAAUAACAGGAAUCAGAGCUGUGGAAAAUGAGUGGCUCCUGGCCCAGCUGUUUGGGGGAAUAUUAGAAGAAAGAGAAUCUUUAUAGAGUGAUACAAUGCAUUUCAAUUCCUGUUCUAAUGACGGGAUUGUCCUGAUACCAUAGUGUUCCUUCUUAAAUUGUCCCAGAUGAGAAGAGUGAAUGGAUUUUGCAGGAUGACGUCUCCGUGCCUCUAGCUAGUAUACCCACAUAUUCUUCAACCACAGGCUUC